UACGUAGGGGGCAAGCGUUGUCCGGAAUCAUUGGGCGUAAAGCGCGUGUAGGCGGCCCGGUAAGUCCGCUGUGAAAGUCCAGGGCUCAACCCUGGAAUGCCGGUGGAUACUGUCGGGCUCGAGUCCGGAAGAGGCGAGUGGAAUUCCUGGUGUAGCGGUGAAAUGCGUAGAGAUCGGGAAGAACAUCGGUGGCGAAGGCGCUCUACUGGACCACAACUGAUACUCAGGGACGAAAGCUAGGGGAGCGAAUGGG
This 253-nucleotide ribosomal RNA is filed under the name uncultured bacterium. RNAcentral describes it as "partial 16S ribosomal RNA". It matches the Rfam family "Bacterial small subunit ribosomal RNA", at positions 524 to 776 of the family's 1533-position model. The record is from RNAcentral.